Molecule: ribosomal RNA, 273 nt
Filed under: uncultured Staphylococcus sp.
Lineage: Bacteria; Bacillati; Bacillota; Bacilli; Caryophanales; Staphylococcaceae
Description: partial 16S ribosomal RNA
Rfam family: Bacterial small subunit ribosomal RNA
Source: RNAcentral
UCUAGAGAUAGAGUUUUCCCCUUCGGGGGACAGAGUCACAGGUGGUGCAUGGUUGUCGUCAGCUCGUGUCGUGAGAUGUUGGGUUAAGUCCCGCAACGAGCGCAACCCUUAAGUUUAGUUGCCAUCAUUAAGUUGGGCACUCUAAGUUGACUGCCGGUGACAAACCGGAGGAAGGUGGGGAUGACGUCAAAUCAUCAUGCCCCUUAUGAUUUGGGCUACACACGUGCUACAAUGGACAAUACAAAGGGUAGCGAAACCGCGAGGUCAAGCAAA